GUGAUCUCAUCAUCGAGAUCAUCGAAACUCCUUUCGAUGGAUCAGAACUCUUCUGAUUCAGACAAUUAGAAUGAUCGAUCAUUAUGAUCAUUCUAAUUGCUCCCAAAAUUCACCAGUGACACCUAGCAGUAUAUGGUGGCAACCCCUCAGAAUUGAAGAUGAACCUCUCGGUGCAGCAACCUAUAUGAUUGAAUUCCUCUAUCACGAGUUCCAACUGAAUUAGGGUUAAAGUGAACUCGUCAAACCCAACAUCAGUCAUAUGAAUCAAUCGAUCGAUCCGAGUCCGAUGUGAAACCCCAAUGAAAAACUUUUUUUCAUUAUUUCAUUCUGCCAUGGCCAUGGGCUUAAGGACUAGAUCUAUACUUGAAUAACUAGGAUAUCAUCAUGAUUUUUUUUAUAACAAGAGUAGUAUCUAUAUUUUUUCUUGAAAAAUUAUUAUCUAGCAAAAAUUUAUCAAGUCUUUCAUACCAUGCUCUAGGUGCUUGUUUUAAAUGAU
RNAcentral lists this long non-coding RNA (496 nucleotides) under Elaeis guineensis (African oil palm). RNAcentral describes it as "long non-coding RNA (EGUI_LNC020110)". Lineage: Eukaryota; Viridiplantae; Streptophyta; Magnoliopsida; Arecales; Arecaceae. The record is from RNAcentral.